RNAcentral lists this ribosomal RNA (350 nucleotides) under Ectopseudomonas oleovorans. RNAcentral's name for it is "bacterial SSU rRNA". It matches the Rfam family "Bacterial small subunit ribosomal RNA", at positions 1182 to 1533 of the family's 1533-position model. The record is from RNAcentral. Lineage: Bacteria; Pseudomonadati; Pseudomonadota; Gammaproteobacteria; Pseudomonadales; Pseudomonadaceae.
GNGUCUGUAUAUGGCCCUUACGGCCAGGGCUACACACGUGCUACAAUGGUCGGUACAAAGGGUUGCCAAGCCGCGAGGUGGAGCUAAUCCCAUAAAACCGAUCGUAGUCCGGAUCGCAGUCUGCAACUCGACUGCGUGAAGUCGGAAUCGCUAGUAAUCGUGAAUCAGAAUGUCACGGUGAAUACGUUCCCGGGCCUUGUACACACCGCCCGUCACACCAUGGGAGUGGGUUGCUCCAGAAGUAGCUAGUCUAACCUUCGGGGGGACGGUUACCACGGAGUGAUUCAUGACUGGGGUGAAGUCGUAACAAGGUAGCCGUAGGGGAACCUGCGGUUGGAUNACACNNCAAC